This 495-nucleotide ribosomal RNA is filed under the name uncultured bacterium. RNAcentral's name for it is "partial 16S ribosomal RNA". It matches the Rfam family "Bacterial small subunit ribosomal RNA", at positions 28 to 523 of the family's 1533-position model. The record is from RNAcentral.
GAUGAACGCUGGCGGUGUGCUUAACACAUGCAAGUCGAACGAAGCAUUUCGGUCUUAGUCUUCGGAAGCGGACUGAUCUGACUGAGUGGCGGACGGGUGAGUAACGCGUGGGUAACCUGCCCUGUACAAGGGGAUAACAGUUAGAAAUGACUGCUAACACCGCAUAAGCGCACAGAAAGGCAUCUUUCGGUGUGAAAAUAUUUAUAGGUACAGGAUGGGCCCGCGUCUGAUUAGCCAGUUGGCAGGGUAACGGCCUACCAAAGCAACGAUCAGAAGCCGGCUUGAGAGAGUGAACGGCCACAUUGGGACUAAGACACGGCCCAAACUCCUACGGGAGGCAGCAGUGGGGAAUAUUGCACAAUGAGGUAAACCCUGAUGAAGCGACGCCGCGUGAGUGAAGAAGUAUUUCGGUAUGUAAAGCUCUAUCAGCAGGGAAGAAAAUGACGGUACCUGACUAAGAAGCCCCGGCUAACUACGUGCCAGCCGCCGCCGUAA